CAUAUGGAUGGAGCUGUCCUGGUUAGAUUAGUAGGUUCUGGUGUUUAAUAACAGAUGGACGGUGCUGUGCUGGUUAGAUUAGUAGGUUCUGGUGUUUAAUAACAGAUGGAUGGAGGUGUGUUGGUUAGAUUAGUAGAUUCUGGGGUUUAAUAACAGAUGGAUGGAGCUGUGCUGGUAAGAUUAGUAGGUUCUGGGGUUUAAUAACAGAUGGACGGUGCUGUGCUGGUUAGAUUAGUAGAUUCUGGGGUUUAAUAACAGAUGGAUGGAGCUGUGCUGGUUAGAUUAGUAGAUUCUGGGGCUUAAUAACAGAUGGAUGGUGCUGUGCUGGUUAGAUUAGUAGGUUCUGAGGUUUAAUAACAGAUGGAUGGUGCUGUGCUGGUUAGAUUAGUAGGUUCUGGGGUUUAAUAACAGAUGGGUGGAGCUGUGCUGGUUAGAUUAGUAGGUUCUGGGGUUUAAUAACAGAUGGAUGGUGCUGUGCUGGUUAGAUUAGUAGGUUCUGGUGUUUAAUAACAGAUGGAUGGAGCUGUCCUGGUUAGAUUAGUAGGUUCUGGUGUUUAAUAACAGAUGGACGGUGCUGUGCUGGUUAGAUUAGUAGGUUCUGGUGUUUAAUAACAGAUGGAUGGAGGUGUGUUGGUUAGAUUAGUAGAUUCUGGGGUUUAAUAACAGAUGGAUGGAGCUGUGCUGGUAAGAUUAGUAGGUUCUGGGGUUUAAUAACAGAUGGACGGUGCUGUGCUGGUUAGAUUAGUAGAUUCUGGGGUUUAAUAACAGAUGGAUGGAGCUGUGCUGGUUAGAUUAGUAGAUUCUGGGGUUUAAUAACAGAUGGACGGUGCUGUGCUGGUUAGAUUAAUAGAUUCUGGGGUUUAAUAACAGAUGGAUGGAGCUGUGGUGGUUAGAUUAGUAGGUUCUGGUGUUUAAUAACAGAUGGACGGUGCUGUGCUGGUUAGAUUAUUAGGUUCUGGUGUUUAAUAACAGAUGGACGGUGCUGUGCUGGUUAGAUUAGUAGGUUCUAGUGUUUAAUAACAGAUGGAUGGAGGUGUGCUGGUUAGAUUAGUAGGUUCUGGGGUUUAAUAACAGAUGGAUGGUGUUGUGCUGGUUAGAUUAGUAGGUUCUGGGGUUUAAUAACAGAUGGAUGGAGCUGUGCUGGUUAGAUUAGUAGGUUCUGGGGUUUAAUAACAGAUGGAUGGAGCUGUGCUGGUUAGAUUAGUAGGUGCUGGGGUUUAAUAACGGAUGAAUGGAGCUGUGCUGGUUAGAUUAGUAGGUUUUGGGGUUUGAUAACAGAUGCACGGUGCUGUGCUGGUUAGAUUAGUAGGUUCUGGUGUUUAAUAACAGAUGGACGGUGCUGUGCCGGUUAGAUUAGUAGGUUCUGGGGUUUGAUAACCGAUGGAUGGUGCUGUGCUGGUUAGAUUAGUAGAUUCUGGGGUUUAAUAACAGAUGGACAGUGCUGUGCUGGUUAGAUUAGUAGAUUCUGGGGUUUAAUAACAGAUGGAUGGAGCUGUGCUGGUUAGAUUACUAGGUUCUGGGGUUUGAUAACAGAUGGAUGGUGCCGUGCUGGUUAGAUUAGUAGGUUCUGAGGUUUAAUAACAGAUGGAUGGUGCUGUGCUGGUUAGAUUAGUAGGUUCUGGGGUUUAAUAACAGAUGGGUGGAGCUGUGCUGGUUAGAUUAGUAGGUUCUGGGGUUUAAUAACAGAUGCAUGGUGCUGUGCUGGUUAGAUUAGUAGGUUCUGGUGUUUAAUAACAGAUGGAUGGAGCUGUCCUGGUUAGAUUAGUAGGUUCUGGUGUUUAAUAACAGAUGGACGGUGCUGUGCUGGUUAGAUUAGUAGGUUCUGGUGUUUAAUAACAGAUGGAUGGAGGUGUGUUGGUUAGAUUAGUAGAUUCUGGGGUUUAAUAACAGAUGGAUGGAGCUGUGCUGGUAAGAUUAGUAGGUUCUGGGGUUUAAUAACAGAUGGACGGUGCUGUGCUGGUUAGAUUAGUAGAUUCUGGGGUUUAAUAACAGAUGGAUGGAGCUGUGCUGGUUAGAUUAGUAGAUUCUGGGGUUUAAUAACAGAUGGACUGUGCUGUGCUGGUUAAAUUAAUAGAUUCUGGGGUUUAAUAACAGAUGGAUGGAGCUGUGCUGGUUAGAUUAAUAGGUUCUGGUGUUUAAUAACAGAUGGACGGUGCUGUGCUGGUUAGAUUAUUAGGUACUGGUGUUUAAUAACAGAUGGACGGUGCUGUGCUGGUUAGAUUAGUAGGUUCUAGUGUUUAAUAACAGAUGGAUGGAGGUGUGCUGGUUAGAUUAGUAGAUUCUGGGGUUUAAUAACAGAAGGAAUGGAGCUGUGCUGGUUAGAUUAGUAGGUUCUGGGGUUUGAUAACAGAUGGAUGGUGCUGUGCUGGUUAGAUUAGUAGGUUCUGAGGUUUAAUAACAGAUGGAUGGUGCUGUGCUGGUUAGAUUAGUAGGUUCUGGGGUUUAAUAACAUGGAUGGCGCUGUGCUGGUUACAUUAGUAGGUUCUGGGGUUUAGUAACAGAUGCAUGGUGCUGUGCAGGUUAGAUUAGUAGGUUCUGUGGUUUAAUAACAGAUGGAUGGAGCUGUGUUGGUUAGAUUAGUAGAUUCUGUGGUUUAAUAACAGAUGGAGGGAGCUGUGUUGGUUAGAUUAGUAGGUUCUGGGGUUUAAUAACAGAUGAAUGGUGCUGUGCUGGUUAGAUUAGUAGAUUCUGGUGUUUAAUAACAGAUGGACGGUGCUGUGCUGGUUAGAAGGAACAGAAGGAAUGGAGCUGUUCUGGUUAGAUUAGUAGGUUCUGGGGUUUGAUAACAGAUGGAUGGUGCUGUGCUGGUUAGAUUAGUAGGUUCUGAGGUUUAAUAACAGAUGGAUGGUGCUGUGCUGGUUAGAUUAGUAGGUCCUGGGGUUUAAUAACAGAUGGAUGGAGCUGUGCUGGUUAGAUUAGUAGGUCCUGGGGUUUAAUAACAGAUGGAUGGAGCUGUGCUGGUUAGAUUAGUAGAUUCUGGGGUUUAAUAACGGAUGGAUGGUGCUGUGCUGGUUAGAUUAGUAGGUUCUGGGGUUUAAUAACAGAUGGAUGGAGCUGUGCUGUUAGAUUAGUAGGUUCUGGGGUUUAAUAACAGAUGGAUGGUGCUGUGUGGGCAGAUUAGUAGAUUCUGGGGUUUAAUAACAGAUGGAUGGAGCUGUGCUGGUUAGAUUAGUAGGUUCUGGGGUUUAAUAACAGAUGGAUGGAGCUGUGCUGGUUAGAUUAGUAGGUUCUGGGGUUUAAUAACAGAUGGAUGGAGCUGUGUUGGUUAGAUUAGUAGAUUCUGGCGUUUAAUAACAGAUGGAUGGCGCUUUGCUGGUUAGAUUAGUAGGUCCUGGGGUUUAAUAACAGAUGGAGGGAGCUGUGCUGGUUAGAUUAGUAGGUUCUGGGGUUUAAUAACAGAUGAAUGGUGCUGUGCUGGUUAGAUUAGUAGGUUCUGGUGUUUAUUAGAUGGAUGGUGCUGUGCUGGUUAGAUUAGUAGGUUCUGGUGUUUAAUAACAGAUGGAUGGAGCUGUGCUGGUUAGAUUAGUAGAUUCUGGGGUUUAGUAACAGAUGAAUGGAGCUGCGCUGGUUAGAUUAGUAGGUUCUGGGGUUUAAUAACAGAUGGAUGGAGCUGUACUGGUUAGAUUAGUCGAUUCUGGGGUUUAGUAACAGAUGAGUGGAGCUGUGCUGGUUAGAUUAGUAGGCUCUGGGGUUUAAUAACAGAUGGAUGGAGCUGUGUUGGUUAGAUUAGUAGAUUCUGGGGUUUAAUAACAGAUGGAGGGAGCUGUGUUGGUUAGAUUAGUAGGUUCUGGGGUUUAAUAACAGAUGAAUGGUGCUGUGCUGGUUAGAUUAGUAGAUUCUGGUGUUUAAUAACAGAUGGACGGUGCUGUGCUGGUUAGAAGGAACAGAAGGAAUGGAGCUGUGCUGGUUAGAUUAGUAGGUCCUGGGGUUUAAUAACAGAUGGAGGGAGCUGUGUUGGUUAGAUUAGUAGGUUCUGGGGUUUAAUAACAGAUGAAUGGUGCUGUGCUGGUUAGAUUAGGAGGUUCUGGUGUUUAUUAGAUGGAUGAUGCUGUGCUGUUUAGAUUAGUAGGUUCUGGUGUUUAAUAACAGAUGGAUGGUGCUGUGCUGGUUAGAUUAGUAGGUUCUGGGGUUUUAUAACAGAUGGAUGGUGUUGUGCUGGUUAGAUUAGUAGGUUCUGGGGUUUAAUAACCGAUGGAUGGAGGUGUGCUGGUUAGAUUAGUAGGUUCUGGGGUUUAAUAACAGAUGGAUGGCGCUGUGCUGGUUAGAUUAGUAGGUUCUGGUGUUUAAUAACAGAUGGAUUGUGCUGUGCUGGUUAGAUUAGUAGGUUCUGGGGUUUAUUAGAUGGAUGAUGCUGUGCUGGUUAGAUUAGUAGGUUCUGUUGUUUAAUAACAGAUGGAUGGAGCUUUGCUGGUUAGAUUAGUAGGUUCUGGGGAUUGAUAACAGAUGGAUGGUGCUGUGCUGGUUAGAUUAGUAGGUUCUGAGGUUUAAUAACGGAUGGAUGGUGCUGUGCUGGUUAGAUUAGUAGGUUCUGGAGUUUAAUAACAGAUGGAUGUAGCUGUGCUGUUAGAUUAGUAGGUUCUGGGGUUUAAUAACAGAUAGAUGGUGCUGUGUUGGUUAGAUUAGUAGAUUCUGGGGUUUAAUAACAGAUGGAUGGAACUGUGCAGGUUAGAUUAGUAGGUUCUGGGGUUUAAUAACAGAUGGACGGUGCUGUGCUGGUUAGAUUAGUAGGUUCUGGGGUUUAAUAACAGAUGAAUGGAGCUGUGCUUGUUCGAUUAGUAGGUUUUGGGGUUUAAUAACAGAUGGAUGGAGCUGUGCUGGUUAGAUUAGUAGGUUUUGGGGAUUGAUAACAGAUGGCUGGAGUUGUGCUGGUUAGAUUAGUAGGUUCUGGGGUUUAAUAACAGAUGGAUGGAGCUGUGCUGGUUAGAUUAGUAGGUUUUGGGGAUUGAUAACAGAUGGAUGGUGCUGUGCUGGUUAGAUUAGUAGGUCCUGGUGUUUAAUAACAGAUGGAUGGAGCUGUGCUGGUAAGAUUAGUAGGUUCUGGGGAUUUAUAACAGAUGGAUGGUGCUGUGCUGGUUAGAUUAGUAGGUUCUGAGGUUUAAUGACGGAUGGAUGGUGCUGUGCUGGUUAGAUUAGUAGGUUCUGGGGUUUAAUAACAGAUGAAUGGAGCUGUGCUUGUUAGAUUAGUAGGUUUUGGGGUUUAAUAACAGAUGGAUGGAGCUGUGCUGGUUAGAUUAGUAGGUUUUGGGGAUUGAUAACAGAUGGCUGGAGCUGUGCUGGUUAGAUUAGUAGGUUCUGGGGUUUAAUAACAGAUGGAUGGAGCUGUGCUGGUUAGAUUAGUAGGUUUUGGGGAUUGAUAACAGAUGGAUGGUGCUGUGCUGGUUAGAUUAGUAGGUCCUGGUGUUUAAUAACAGAUGGAUGGAGCUGUGCUGGUAAGAUUAGUAGGUUCUGGGGUUUAAUAACAGAUGGAUGGAGCUGUGCUGGUUAGAUUAGUAGGUUCUGGGGUUUAAUAACAGAUGGACGGUGCUGUGCUGGUUAGAUUAGUAGGUUCUCGGGUUUAAUAACAGAUGAAUGGAGCUGUGCUUGUUAGAUUAGUAGGUUUUGGGGUUUAAUAACAGAUGGAUGGAGCUGUGAUGGUUAGAUUAGUAGGUUCUGGGGUUUAAUAACAGAUGGAUGGAGCUGUGCUGGUUAGAUUAGUAGAUUCUGGGGUUUAAUAACAGAUGGAUGGUGUUGUGCUGGUUAGAUUAGUAGAUUCUGGUGUUUAAUAACAGAUGGACGGUGCUGUGCUGGUUAGAAGGAACAGAAGGAAUGGAGCUGUGCUGGUUAGAUUAGUAGGUUCUGGGGUUUGAUAACAGAUGGAUGGUGCUGUGCUGGUUAGAUUAGUAGGUUGUGGGGUUUGAUAACAGAUGGAUGGUGCUGUGCUGGUUAGAUUAGUAGGUUCUGAGGUUUAAUAACAAAUGGAUGGUGCUGUGCUGGUUAGAUUAGUAGAUUCUGGGGUAUAAUAACAGAUGGAUGGAGCUGUGCUUGUUAGAUUAGUAGAUUCUGGGGUUUAAUAACAGAUGGAUGGAGCUGUGCUGGUUAGAUUAGUAGAUUCUGGGGUUUAAUAACAGAUGUAUGGAGCUGUGCUGGUUAGCUUAGUAGGUUCUGGGGUUUAAUAACAGAUGUAUGGAGCUGUGCUGGUUAGAUUAGUAGGUUCUGGGGUUUAAUAACAGAUGGAUGGAGCUGUGCUGGUUAGAUUAGUAGGUUCUGGGGUUUAAUAACAGAUGGAUGGUGUUGUGCUGGUUAGAUUAGUAGGUUCUGGUGUUUAAUAACAGAUGGAUGGUGCUGUGCUGGUUAGAUUAGUAGGUUCUGGGGUUUAAUAACAGAUGGAUGGUGUUGUGCUGGUUAGAUUAGUAGGUUCUGGUGUUUAAUAACAGAUGGAUGGAGCUGUGCUGGUUAGAUUAGUAGGUUCUGGCGUCUGAUAACUAAUGCAUUACUUCUAACGAUGCACUGUUGUGAGAUGGCAAUAAUACACGAGAGGUAGUGUUGGGCGGUAUACCGGUUCAUAUGGUUUUCCGUGCGUCUCUGAAAAUGUACCUACGCAUUGUGGCGUACCGUACGCCGCAGCUUGAUGCGCACCUGUUUGAAAAAUGUAACUAUGCGUUGACUUUAAAAAAAAAAAAAAAAUUUAAAAGCCAUUUGACCAGUGGUAGGAUGAUCCCCCCCUUAAAUGUGAGUCUUGGUCCUCCCAAGGUUUCUUCCUCCUCCUGCAGCUCUGAGGGAGUUUUUUCUUGCCUUCGCGCUCACUGGGGGUUCUGUAUUCUGUAUUUUCUAGGUUUAAUGUUUUGCCUGAUUCUUUGUCCUGUGAUCAUGUUUCUGUAAAGCUGCUUUGUGACAACACCAGUUGUAAAAAGCGCUAUACAAAUAAAUUUGAUUUGAUUUGAAA
Molecule: long non-coding RNA, 6922 nt
Organism: Astyanax mexicanus (Mexican tetra)
Lineage: Eukaryota; Metazoa; Chordata; Actinopteri; Characiformes; Acestrorhamphidae
Exons: 3
Source: RefSeq, a predicted model, not a curated record